AUGAUUAGAUGUGGUAUUGUUGAGGAGAAUGAAGCUAUGCUUGCACGUUUUAUGGGUGGAUUAAAUAGAGAGAUUCAGACCAUUCUAGAGUAUAAUGAGUAUACUAAUAUCACUCGUUUAUUCCAUCUUUCUUGUAAAGCUGAACGUGAAGUGCAGGAUCGACAGGCAUUGGCGCGAACUAACUUUUCUGCAGGUCGAUCUUCAUCAUGGACACCACGUGCAUCCUCUACUUCCACUCCACCAGCACCUCCAUCAGGUGCCACCUCCAGUCGUGAUACAAGAAAGCAGGCACAACCACCACUAUCUGCCAAGAGCACACCUGCCGGGCCUGCGCAGAGCUCUUCUUCUUCCAUGGCAUCAACAGGGCACACAAGUGAUAUUAUUUUUCGUCGUUGUAAGGGAAGAGGACAUUUUGUGAGAGAAUGCCAAUCUCAGCGCGUGAUGAUUGCUACUGAGGAUGGUGGGUAUGAGUCCGCUAGUGACUAUGAUGAGGAGACUUUGGCUCUUAUUACACAUGAAGAACACGAUGGAGACGAUUCUGAUCAUGAGACGCAAUACAUGGCUGCUGAAGAUGCUGACGGGUAUGACUGUUUAGUUGAUCAAUGUGUUCUGAGUGUGCAGGUUACACAAGCUGAGCAAAAUCAGAGGCAUAAUUUGUUCCAUACAAAGGGAGUUGUGAAGGAACGUUCUGUUCGCGUCAUCAUAGAUGGAGGGAGCUGCAAUAACUUGGCUAGCAUGGAGAUGGUGGAGAAGCUAUCUCUCACCGCAAUACCACAUCCACAUCCUUACUACAUCCAGUGGUUCAACAACAGCGGCGAGGUUAAGGUCACACGUACUGUUCGUGUGCACUUUAGUAUCUUUACAUAUGCUGAUUAUGUUGAUUGUGAUGUGGUACCUAUGCAAGCAUGUUCCUUAUUACUUGGUAGACCAUGGCAACUUGAUAAAAAUUCUGUACACCAUGGUAGAAACAAUCAGUAUACUGUUGUUCAUAAAGAUAAAAAUAUUACUUUUCUUCCUAUGACUCCUGAAUCCAUUUUGAAAGAUGAUAUUAAUAGAGCUAAUAAAGCAAAACAGGAGAAAAAUAAGAGUGAAAAUCAGAUUGUGGCAAAAGAAUUUGAGCAACAAAUGAAAUCUGAUAAUAAACCAUCUAGUGUUGCUUCUGAAAUUAAAUUGAAAAGUGCUUGUUUACUUGCCACGAAAUCUGAUAUUGAUGAGCUAGAUUUCAGCAAAUCUGUUUGCUAUGCUUUUGUGUGCAAAGAGGCAUUAUUUUCUUUCGAGGACGUGCCUUCCUCUUUGCCUCCUGCUGUCACUAACAUUUUGCAGGAGUUUGCUGACGUCUUUCCAGAAGACGUGCCACCGGGAUUACCACCUAUUCGAGGGAUUGAGCAUCAAAUUGACUUAAUUCCCGGUGCAUCAUUACCCAACCGUGCACCAUAA
Molecule: ribosomal RNA, 1437 nt
Filed under: Triticum aestivum (bread wheat)
Lineage: Eukaryota; Viridiplantae; Streptophyta; Magnoliopsida; Poales; Poaceae
Description: partial small subunit ribosomal RNA
Source: RNAcentral